GAUAUUAAACUGAUAAGAACAGAUA
Molecule: non-coding RNA, 25 nt
Filed under: Arabidopsis thaliana (thale cress)
Lineage: Eukaryota; Viridiplantae; Streptophyta; Magnoliopsida; Brassicales; Brassicaceae
Also listed under: 1 other name
Source: RNAcentral